AGAUCAAAAAAGCUGAGCAAAUAAGUAAAAUUAUGUUUCUUAUAAUCGAUGAAGCCGACCGAAUAUUGGAGGCUAACUUUGAGGAAGACAUGGAGCAAAUAUUUAAGCGGCUGCCAAAGACAAGGCAAACUGCUCUAUUUACAGCUA
Long non-coding RNA from Zingiber officinale, 147 nucleotides. RefSeq lists it as uncharacterized. NCBI's taxonomy places the organism in Eukaryota, Viridiplantae, Streptophyta, Magnoliopsida, Zingiberales, Zingiberaceae. The record is from RefSeq and is a predicted model, not a curated record. The transcript is spliced from 3 exons.